CGCCCCUACCAUCAAAAGCUGAUGCUAUAAUUAAACACUAUCGCAUUAUAGUAAGAUUGCAGCAUCCCGUCCAAACGCGGUUAUUUUCUUUCUAUAAAAAACACCAUGACUCCACAUCGCACCGCACGUAGCUUCAACGGCAGCUUCAACCACCUUAAAAUCCUGAACGGCCUCGACCAAAUGGAGAAUUUACAGUUAGGUAUGAAUAACAAUGCUGUCAUUCGAAAAAUGGAGGCGUUGCCGCCAUCGGUCCUCUUCGCCGCUAAUUUUAUGUAAGUAAGCGCUUUAAUUGUAAUAAUAAACUUCAAAUCACUAUUUCAGCUCUAAAUAAAAACACCCUACAUUUUG
Long non-coding RNA from Photinus pyralis (common eastern firefly), 348 nucleotides. RefSeq lists it as uncharacterized. The record is from RefSeq and is a predicted model, not a curated record. The transcript is spliced from 2 exons. NCBI's taxonomy places the organism in Eukaryota, Metazoa, Arthropoda, Insecta, Coleoptera, Lampyridae.